GGCCAGGGUGUUACAUUGGGUGGGCGUUCUAUGUUCUUUUUUCUAGGUUGGUUUGUUUCGUUGAUUUUGGCCGUGCCAGGGUGUUACAUUGGGUGGGCGUUCUAUGUUCUUUUUUCUAGGUUGGUUUGUUUCGUUGAUUUUGGCCGUGUGGCUUCCAAUCAGGCACAGCUGUAGUUUGUUGUUGCUACUUGGGAGUCACACAUAAGUAGCCUGUUUUUUCCUUUGGGGUUUGUGGGGGAUUGUUUUCUAUUUCUGUCUAGUGCUUUCUGUUGAGAGUUUUUCCUGACAGGACUGUUUUGCUGUCUUUGGUUUAUUUUUGUAUAGUGUUCUCCUUUUUUCAUUAAAUAUCAAGAUGAACCCACAUUCUCCGCUGCACCUUGGUUUUAUUACUACGACAGCCGUUACAAUUAGCCUAAUCGAGUUGUAGAUUACAUCUCACAUUCCAGUGUUCAAACUUGUAAACAGGGCUGCAUGAGAUUUCUGUUGAUGCAACUCAGUGCAGCCAAUGGCAAUGUUGGCUUUAGGUAUAAUGCCAGGAGCCGCUUGUGGAUUUCACAGCUCUAACACAAUCCCACCUCAGACACCGCCAAAACAACCGCUAUGUGGAUGUCGGCUAAAGCGGACGUGAUUGAAUAGAGCCCCAAGUGAGGGAGAGUGUGCAUGUGUGUAUACAUGCAUGUGAUAAUGACCUGUAUCACCUGUCGCUGCAGCAGAUGGAGGGGCAGAUGACUGCAGCUGUGAGGUUGUAAUUGGGUUGUCAGAUCUAAAAGAGAGAGGCACAAUUUUACAAUGAAUGAUGCAACAAAACAGAGUGAGCGAUUGAGUGAGUGUGUUUACAUGUGUGUGAUCAUUUUUUGGACCACAUCACACUGCUUCAGGUCUACAAGCCUCUGGAAGUUCCAGCGUGCCACUCCAGGCCUGGAACAGUUUGGUGGAAACACCCACCAAGUCUGGUUGUCAGGUCUGAAAGAUAGGUACAAUAAUAUUUGUAUGGAAAAGCCUAGACUACACAUUAAACUAAAUUAAGUGUGUGCUUGUGUAUAUCGGGCAACCACAAAGCAGACUUCAUUUCCCCAACUACUCAUUGUACUUGCCCUUGCAAUCUGUGGUGUGUGUGUUCUGUGUUAUUGACUCAGAAGUGUGUCAACCUGACCACAUCCUUGUAGUAGGACAUUAAGUGAUUAGCUAUUAACAGUGUACAGUAAAAAGGAUAUAAAAUAUUCAGAUAUGGAUUGACAAGUAGGCUAAAUCAGUUACAAAACCUCUAGGGCAGGAGUGUGUAAACUUUUUG
Molecule: long non-coding RNA, 1291 nt
Filed under: Salmo salar (Atlantic salmon)
Lineage: Eukaryota; Metazoa; Chordata; Actinopteri; Salmoniformes; Salmonidae
Description: lncRNA (ENSSSAG00000097672.1)
Source: RNAcentral